Molecule: long non-coding RNA, 711 nt
Organism: Drosophila innubila
Lineage: Eukaryota; Metazoa; Arthropoda; Insecta; Diptera; Drosophilidae
Exons: 2
Source: RefSeq, a predicted model, not a curated record
GUUGGUGCUGAACACUUGCCGACAAACGUUACCCAGUCGCCGCGCUUAAAACUCGUUUAAGACGUAUCUUAAAGUGACCGCCACAAAGAAGAGCGAACAUCAACCACGUUCAACAGGCAGACACACUGCAUUUGAAACAAUCACAAUUAACUGGAAAAUGUAAACAAACAGAGGCACAGCGGCUAAACAACUUUCAGCCAACACCAGCAAAAGCACAACGAAGCUGGCCGAAAGAGACAACUGAAAGAGACCGACUACAGUUAGCGCAGCGGAAGAAUCUCGCUGAACUUAACCAACUAUAAUUCCGACUAUACGACGAAGACGAUGCAAGGCAAAAAAAACUGAACGACAGCAACUGAACUGUUGCCGCUAACAACUUAACGAAAGCUCACAGUGAGAGCGUUUUUAACCGGCGGCUUGGCCUAGCUUGGCCAUGAUCUUGGCUAGCACGGUGAGCGGUUCAGUCAGUUGUCGGUUAGACGCGUUCGCAUGCGCACGCUGUUAAAAUAUUAAAGCGUAGAUACAAUAUCUAAGAGAUACAAGAUACAAUAUACAAAAUACGCGGCAACCGUUAGACAGUAGGUGUGUCUUGCGCAUAGAUGAAGUAAUUGCAGGUUGAACGGCUUGUUUAAGUCUGGGCUAGUGUUUGACUUUGGUAAGGCAAAUAGAAAAUGUGCUAAAUGCAGCAGCGAAAUUGCAAACAAACAAAAA